Molecule: ribosomal RNA, 463 nt
Filed under: uncultured Sphingomonas sp.
Lineage: Bacteria; Pseudomonadati; Pseudomonadota; Alphaproteobacteria; Sphingomonadales; Sphingomonadaceae
Description: bacterial SSU rRNA
Rfam family: Bacterial small subunit ribosomal RNA
Source: RNAcentral
CCCUGGCUCAGAACGAACGCUGGCGGCAUGCCUAACACAUGCAAGUCGAACGAGAUCUUCGGGUCUAGUGGCGCACGGGUGCGUAACGCGUGGGAAUCUGCCCAAAAGUUCGGAAUAACUCAGGGAAAUUUGUGCUAAUACCGGAUAAUGACGCAAGGCCAAAGAUUUAUCGCCUUUGGAUGAGCCCGCGUAGGAUUAGCUUGUUGGUGGGGUAAAGGCCUACCAAGGCAACGAUCCUUAGCUGGUCUGAGAGGAUGAUCAGCCACACUGGGACUGAGACACGGCCCAGACUCCCACGGGAGGCAGCAGUGGGGAAUAUUGGACAAUGGGCGAAAGCCCGAUCCAGCAAUGCCGCGUGAGUGAAGAAGGGCUUCGGGUUGUAAAGCUCUUUUGCCCGGGAAGCGAUAAUGACUGUACCGGGAGAAUAAGCCCCGGCUAACUCCGUGCCAGCAGCCGCGGUAAG